AAAAGAAUUGAUGAGAAACGUGAAGAUCAAAUGUCCAUCUCAAAACACUGCUUUUACAAAAGCAGAAUAAAAUGGACAGAAAUGAAAAUGA
This 91-nucleotide long non-coding RNA is filed under the name Urocitellus parryii (Arctic ground squirrel). RNAcentral describes it as "Metastasis associated lung adenocarcinoma transcript 1 (ENSUPAG00010009822.1)". It matches the Rfam family "Metastasis associated lung adenocarcinoma transcript 1". From Rfam's summary of the family: MALAT 1 (metastasis associated lung adenocarcinoma transcript 1) is also known as NEAT2 (noncoding nuclear-enriched abundant transcript 2). It is a large, infrequently spliced RNA, which is highly conserved amongst mammals. The record is from RNAcentral. Lineage: Eukaryota; Metazoa; Chordata; Mammalia; Rodentia; Sciuridae.